AUGACUAUGGCUACUUCUCCUUCCCUAUUUAUGCUUGGACGUUAGUGUUUAGUUAGUCAAAGAUUUAUUUCUUCUAAUUUGUAACCUGGUAUGCGUGCAAUUGUAGUAUAUUUGCCUGUUGAUUAUAAGAUAUAUUUUUUAGUUUAUUGCCCUGUUUUAUUCCCCUAUAAAUCUGAACCCUGUUUUUGAAUGUUUUAUGGUAAGAAAUCAACCAUUGAACUGCAGUGUUUAGUUAUAUUUAUUUCUUUAGAUUUGUUACCUGGUGAAUGUGCAGUUGUGGUAGAUUUACCUUGUGAUUAUGAUUUUCUUUUUUUCUCUGCAGAUUAUAGUGUUGUUUAUUCCCCUAAAAAUAUAAAUCUCAACCAUGUUUUAAAAAUGUUUCAUGCUAAGCAAUCAACGCCAUCGACGGUGCCAAGGCUAGCUGUAUCAGCAACUCAGCGAACAAAAACAUGAUCAACUCCCCCACCCUGACCAGGAUACAACCAUGGAUAUCACUCAGGUUCUACUAGAUGCUCAAUCUCGAGAUGCUAACCUUCGAACAGUAGCAGAAAGCAACCUCACACAGUUCCAGGAGCAGAAGCUUUAAGCUACGCUCAACUGUCUAUGUGACUCACAUUUGAUGUACUACUUUCUCAACUUGGGUAGCAGCAACAAUAAGGUCUGAAGCUUUCUCUACAAGUACCUGCACAUGAUUUUGCUGUGAUCUUAGUGGCAAAUUGUUGUGAUCUUCACUGAACAGAAAUGACAGUGGUGUUGCUAGUGGUUGCCUGUGGCCCUAGUUUAGUAGUGUUAUUGUGAAUUUGGUUGAGUUGGGAGUCAAGUACUGAUGUCCCUAGUUAUCUUGCUACUGAUGUCAAGUUAGUUGUGAGUCAAGUACUGAUGGUAAGUUAGUUAUGCAAUAACUUAUGUUGCCACUUUGUGGAAUCUUUUAGUCAUUUCAAUGUUAUUAAAAAAAUGCAUGUUUCAUUCCUA
Sorghum bicolor (sorghum) is the source of this 972-nucleotide long non-coding RNA. RefSeq lists it as uncharacterized. The record is from RefSeq and is a predicted model, not a curated record. NCBI's taxonomy places the organism in Eukaryota, Viridiplantae, Streptophyta, Magnoliopsida, Poales, Poaceae. The transcript is spliced from 3 exons.